Molecule: ribosomal RNA, 819 nt
Filed under: Triticum aestivum (bread wheat)
Lineage: Eukaryota; Viridiplantae; Streptophyta; Magnoliopsida; Poales; Poaceae
Description: partial small subunit ribosomal RNA
Source: RNAcentral
AUGAUCAGUCGUUCGUCCUAUGUUUGGCAGAGUAUUUGGGCAGGGGUACAAACUUUCAAGAAAGGCUGCAUAUGGAGGGUAGGCAAUGGGAUGAAGAUAAACAUCUGGGAAGACUGCUGGAUACCAAAUAGUACAUCCAGGAAGAUUAUAACAGUCCGGGGCAACUGUGUUCUGACGACGGUGAAUGAACUUAUAAAUCCUGUCACUGGAGAAUGGGAUGAAGCACUAAUACGGGACAACUUUUGGCAUAUUGAUGCGGAGAGGAUUUUGCAAAUUCCGAUCUUUCAUCAUGAUACGGAAGAUUUUGUUUCUUGGCACCUCACAAAGUCGGGCAUUUUUUCUGUCCGGUCUGCCUACUACAGGCAAUGGGAGGACACCUACGUAUCAAGUAACUCAAGUCCCUCUGGAAUAAGUGGCUCCUUGGCUCACCCAGCAUGGAAGAAACUUUGGAGCUUAAAGGUACCAAGUAAGAUAAAAAUAUUCUUAUGGAGAUGCUUACAUAAUGCAAUUCCUUGCUGCUGCGUGUUAGCAAACAGGCAUAUAGCUCAAUCAGGACAAUGUCCACUCUGCUUGAAAGAAGCAGAAGACGUUGCACAUAUGGCGUUCAAGUGUACCCAGGCUCAGGAAAUUUGGAGGAGCCUAGGCGUACAUGAAAUAAUAGAGCAGGUGGCUACACUAGGCAGAUCGGGGGCGGAGAUACUGGAGAUAUUUCUCUGCGACCCAGCGCAUCAAACACAAUAUAUGGACUCGGUUGAUCUAACUGAGUUGAUCGCUGUGGCGAGCUGGUAUCUAUGGUGGCGAAGAAGGCAAAUUGUGUGA